RNAcentral lists this transfer RNA (75 nucleotides) under Promethearchaeota archaeon. RNAcentral's name for it is "tRNA-Ala". It matches the Rfam family "tRNA". From Rfam's summary of the family: Transfer RNA (tRNA) molecules are approximately 80 nucleotides in length. Their secondary structure includes four short double-helical elements and three loops (D, anti-codon, and T loops). RNAcentral also lists the same sequence under 7 other names. The record is from RNAcentral. Lineage: Archaea; Promethearchaeati; Promethearchaeota.
GGGCCGGUAGAUCAGCGGUAGAUCGCCGUCUUGGCAUGGCGGAGGCCCCGGGUUCAAAUCCCGGCCGGUCCACCA